GGAGGGUGCAAGCGUUGUUCGGAAUUAUUGGGCGUAAAGAGCGUGUAGGCGGUCCAGUAAGUCAGAUGUGAAAGCCCUGGGCUCAACCCAGGAAGUGCAUUUGAAACUACCAGACUUGAGUACGGGAGAGGAGGGGGGAAUUCCCGGUGUAGAGGUGAAAUUCGUAGAUAUCGGGAGGAAUACCAGUGGCGAAGGCGCCCUCUGGACCGAUACUGACGCUGAGACGCGAAAGCGUGGGGAGCAAACAGGAUUAGAUACCCUGGUAGUCCACGCCGUAAACGAUGAGCACUAGGUGUAGCGGGUAUUGACCCCCCUGCUGUGCCCGUAGCUAACGCAUUAAGUGCUCCGCCUGGGGGACUACGGUCGCAAGACUA
RNAcentral lists this ribosomal RNA (374 nucleotides) under uncultured organism. RNAcentral's name for it is "partial 16S ribosomal RNA". It matches the Rfam family "Bacterial small subunit ribosomal RNA", at positions 527 to 896 of the family's 1533-position model. The record is from RNAcentral.